This is a long non-coding RNA of Wasmannia auropunctata (little fire ant), 2394 nucleotides long. RefSeq lists it as uncharacterized. Lineage: Eukaryota; Metazoa; Arthropoda; Insecta; Hymenoptera; Formicidae. The record is from RefSeq and is a predicted model, not a curated record. The transcript has 2 exons.
UCUGGAUUCAUUACCAUUGCCUUGCAAGAUAAUAUAGAUAAUUGAGACAGAGUUUGAGAAACAUUAUUAUGAAUCUCAAUUUUGACAAGAAAAUGUUCUUCCAUCUGAUUAAGGAAUGUAUUUAAGUUUAAAUUUGUAUUCGACAGGAACUUUUGACUACUGAAAUCAAAUUUAAAAAAAUUAAUUUAAAACAAGCGUGCAUUUUGCUGUCUUGUUAAAUCAAUAUAAGAAGAUUAUCAUCUGAUAUAUUAUGUUACAACUUAUAUACCUACUAAUUGCGACUUCAAAUAAUUUUCUUUUUUAAUAAUAUCUCGAGAGAAGAUGUAGAAUGACAUAAAACCGUUUCGUCGCAGUCUUAAGCUCAUGCAAAAUCUUGAAAUCUACGGAAUAACAUUUAAUUUUAAACUUCAAAACGCGAUUAUCAGCGUUAAAGCGUGUUAGAAAUAAGGAAACUGACACGACAAAAAUAAUUUCAGUUUCGCGAAGACGUUUAAUCAGUUGUGCAUAAAAUAGCGUUAUCCCAAUUAAAGUCGUCGCGGAAGAGAAUAUACGAGAAGGCAAUCAACGGUCUCACCACUUUGCGCUCGCGCAUACCGAGACGAGCGAGUCAUCUCGCCCUUACCGCUUUAUGCAUAAAUGCGAAUAAAUUACGUGUCCGCUCCUCUUUGGCGUCGAAUUGCUUACGGCCAGAUCCUGUGCACCAAAGUUCGGUGUCGAGUGCAGCUCGACAUUCGACCGUGAAGGAUUAAUAUAAAGUCUCGUCUUGUCUCUCGUCCACGUUGACGCUCCUCUAUUCCGUAUUUGAAGAUGCAUUCUUGUAUAAUGCAGCGAGAAAGAGCUGCUCGAAUGGACAAACGAAACACUAUACCGGCCACUCUUUAUACGAACAAGUAAUUAAAUGCGUGCAAAUUAAUGCAACGAAACGUAUCUGCGUCGACGGAAUUUAGCGUUGCGUUGCGUCGAUACAUAAGCUGUUCAAUUAACUUCGUAAUUGUUUGAAUAGGAAGGGUAAGCAAACUUUUUCUCAGCGUGCAAAGAUGUUUGUUUGCGCGGCACGAGCGAAUGGUUUCGCUGCAAAAGCAAACAGAGCAAACACGGAGUGAAACAUGUGGAUGCAGCGGCGCAAAGGUGCGUUUGAAAUGUACAAGCGUGAGCGAGCAAGAUGGAUAUGCUGUAAAGGUGCGCUUAUAUCGUAAAAGCGCGAUUAAACCGACGUAUUCGCGUUUGUACUGCGCUACGUAAACAAGAGAGCGAACGAGUAUCGGCGUACAUAUAUAUACGCGAAUUGAUUCGCCAUAAACGUGCGUUUGCGGCAUUCGAGAGCGCCGAGUGCCCGAGUGAUUCCGCUGGAAAGGCAUGUUACGCGAGCACGAAACGAUGGAGCUGAUUCGCUGUGACACGGUAGAAAACGAACGUAUCCAUUCGUUCGCGUUCAUCCCGGCGGCGGCGUACGGGCAAACAGGCAAUCGUCAAAGAAGAUACGCGCGUGGCACGAAUGUCGAUCCCGAAACCGUGUAAAGGAACCCACCCGCUCAAUACGGAAUCUAAACAUCGGAUUCCGAUGUGAAUUAAAUGGCUCCAUCAACAACGAACGAGCUCGGGAAUAUUGCACGGGGAUCUGGUUCACUGACGCAGGAGAAAUUCAUCUGCAGUAGUGUAAACGUUUCUAUUGCGAGCACGAGGAACAGCUGGUGCUUGCGUAAAGUGUAAACGCACCUUAAGGCCACGGUUAUACUGGAUGCACGUCCCGACCGAAACUCAUCCGGACGAAUUCAUAUACCAGACGUCGGAACUAAUCAAAUACCUACGGUGAAUCAAGUCGAGAUGACUUUGGACUACCUCCGAACUACCGUUCCUCCCCUGCGACUACGAAUUGCGUUUUUAAAGAGAUCGUUGUUGACGGCGAUUCUUUGUUGUUGUCCAAAUUAAAAUUAUUGCAUCGUAAGCACUCGCAAAAUUUACCGCAAAUUACGCGUUUUUGUUCAGAACUUAUCAUCCUCCAUUAUUAGGUUAUAUAUACGUAUAUAAUGUUCGUACAUAUUAUAAUAUAUCCACGGUAUUUAACGGGAAAUGCGAAGUUUCGGGACACUCCGUAUAACGCGAGAUCUGAUCACGUAGCGUGUAAUUACCUCCACUUAUCUCAACACAUUUAAUUAGUUCUGAUCGGCAAAUUCCUAUGCGGGUUCACUAUACCAUAAUCCGCAGUGUACUAAUAUACAACUAUAAUCCGUAUAAAGCUACCUUUAUUAUUUAGAAUGCCAUCCUAAAUCCAUUUAAGGUGAUGAUAUUCCGAAAUAUAUAAUUAAGAAGAUUAAUAUUGGGGAAAUAAGAGUUAAGAUCAUUAAUUAAAUAUGUUGAAAUUAAUAAAAGUAAUAUAAAUAUCUCGGCGUGCAA